CUUAGGACGUCGCCGCCAGCGGACGAGAGCCUUGUCCGCCAUUUUAGGUCCGGUUCCCUCCGCCUCCUUCCUUCCUUCUGCUCUGAGGCGACGCCAGACGCGGCCGAGGAACCGGAGCCAUGUCGGCCAACAGGAACCUGAAGCAAGUGCGGAUCGAGAACAGCUCCCCGGCCUCUGCGCCGCCGAUGAGCAUGGUGGGCGGCGGGAGCAUGAAGGCGCUGCGGGGGCUGGAGCCACCGCCAUUGCCGCCUCCGUCGUCGUCGUCCUCGUCGGCGGCGGCGGGGGAGAACGAAGGCGCGGCGGCCUCGCUGGCGCUGGGGAAGGAGGAGGAGGAGCAGGGCGCCGGGGGCGGAGGGUUCACGGUGGACAUCAAGAGCUUCCUGAAGCCCGGCGAGAAGAGCUACACGCAGCGCUGCCGCCUCUUCGUGGGCAACCUCCCCACCGACAUCACCGAGGAGGACUUCAAGCGCCUCUUCGAGCGCUACGGGGAGCCCAGCGAGGUCUUCAUCAACAGGGACAGGGGCUUCGGCUUCAUCCGGCUGGAAUCUAGGACUCUGGCUGAAAUAGCGAAGGCAGAACUUGAUGGAACUAUUUUGAAGAGCAGACCACUUCGAAUUCGAUUUGCUACCCAUGGAGCUGCUUUAACAGUAAAAAAUCUUUCACCGGUUGUUUCCAAUGAGCUUCUGGAACAAGCUUUCUCUCAAUUUGGCCCUGUGGAAAGAGCGGUGGUUGUUGUGGAUGAUCGUGGUAGGGCAACAGGGAAAGGCUUCGUAGAAUUUGCUGCAAAACCUCCAGCACGUAAAGCUCUGGAAAGAUGCAGUGAUGGAGCAUUCUUGCUAACAACGACUCCUCGACCUGUUAUUGUAGAACCUAUGGAGCAAUUUGAUGAUGAAGAUGGACUGCCUGAGAAAUUAAUGCAAAAAACACAACAGUAUCAUAAAGAGAGAGAACAACCUCCGCGUUUUGCCCAACCUGGAACAUUUGAAUUUGAGUAUGCUUCACGAUGGAAGGCUCUUGAUGAAAUGGAAAAGCAACAGCGAGAACAAGUUGAUAGAAACAUUAGAGAGGCUAAGGAGAAACUAGAGGCUGAAAUGGAAGCAGCUCGACAUGAGCAUCAAUUAAUGCUGAUGAGACAAGACCUUAUGAGGCGUCAGGAAGAACUGAGACGUUUAGAAGAACUUAGAAAUCAAGAACUACAGAAACGGAAGCAAAUACAACUGAGACAUGAAGAAGAACACAGGCGACGUGAAGAAGAAAUGUUGCGCCAGAGAGAACAAGAGGAAUUGAGGAGACAGCAGGAAGGAGGAUUUAAACCAAACUUCAUGGACAACCAAGACUUUGACUUAAUCAUAUACGACAUCCGCCUAAAUACACUUGGAAAACAUGGACUGAAAAGGAUAUAUGGGGAUACAGUUGCUUGAAAUACUACACAUGAAAGGAAAUACUUUUCAAGUGCUGAAGUGCAUCUGACGUUGAAAAACCACACUUGCUCUGUCAGAGAAACAAAGCAGGAAAGGAGGCUGAAUCCAUUCUUCAAUUUCAGUGAAUGUGUGCUGGAUGAUAGUCACCAUUAUUGUACCCUGCAGAAUUACAGACAAGUAGUUGAUGUGCUAAGGCAAUCUUAACAUGAAAGGACAAAGCCUCUGCUGUCAAACAUGAAGCUGAACAUACCCAGCUCUCUAAGCUGCUCCUCAUAGGGCAUGUCUUCCAGGCCUUUCGCCAUUUUGGUCACCCUCCUCUGGAUACGCUCCAGCUUGUUAACAUCCCUCUUGAAUUGAGGUGCCCUGAACUGGACACAGUAUUCCAGGUGAGCCCAGACCAAAGCACAAUGCAGUGGUACUGGUCUAGACACUAUACUUCUGUUGAUGCAACCAAGAUUUGCUUUGCUUUCUUGGCUGCUAUAUCAACUUACUGACUUAGGUUCAGCUUGUGGUCUGCUAGGGCUCCUACAUCCCUCAGUAUACCAUCAAUAUCUGCAUGUAGAUCUAUUCUACACUGAACCAUAUAUUUCCCCCCUGAUUUAAUGCAAAGUCUCUGAAGCUGUCCUGCAUGAUUGUUCUGUGCUUUGUGGUGCGCAGGCAGGCUUGGAGAAGCAUAUGGAUUCCAACAGCACAAAGACCCCUGGAGGACCCUGGCAGAUCCCAGCGCUGAUGAAGCCAACUGCUUCUAGCUUACCUGCUUGCUGUGAGGCAUAGGAUGGCUGUGUGUGGGAGCUUCAAGGGCUUUUCAUAACGACAGGGUAGUGGGUUUCGAUGCUACAGAGGGAGGAAGAGAAUAGCAACCCCUGCAGCACCCAGAGAAGGACAUCCACAAACAUAAAGGCAACUUAAGCAUGCAGAUAUUCCUGUCGUUUUCUCCCACUGAUGAGACCCUUUAAGAAAGUCUGGAGCCAUUUAACCCUUUAAAUCUCAUCACCAGCAGUGGUGUCACUAGGGAUGUGUGGAUUGCACCAUGUAUAUGUCAGUACCUUUAGGCUGUGCAUAUGAUACAAGGCAGUGAUUGUGAACCAUUUUAGGUUCACAUGCUGAAGGCGGGGCUUCUCCCCCCACCCUUUCCCUGGCUCCCAGCUGUCUCUGAGAGAUAGUUGUGGGUCAGCAAAGGCUCAUGGUGGGAGCAGAGCGAUCGGCAGGGGCCCAGUCCUCCCCUUCCUGGGCCUUUCCUGACCCCAAACGGGCCCUCUGGAGGUCAGGAAAGGUAAAUGGGAAAGAGGAGGACUGGGCAUGCACCCGUUCCUCCUCCCUGUGGGCCUUUUUCUGCCCCCGCUGUCUCUCUGGAGAUAGCUGGAGGCCAGCAAAGGUCUCUGGGGAGGAGCCACUGGCAUGUGCUGGUUGCUCCUCCUCUCCCGCCUCUAGCUCUCUUGAAAAGGCAGCUAAAGGCUGGGAGAGGGCUAGGAGGAGGAGCCCCAGAGGCACGUGUUUCUGGCUCCUUCUCUCCAGUGCCAUUUUCUGGCUUCCAACUGUCUUGGAGACAGCUGGAGGCCAAGACAAGGCAGGGAGGAGGAGGAAUGGGUACGUGUGUGCCUGUUCUUCCUUCUCCUGGCCUGGGCCUGGUGGAAUGGCAUUGUGUGUCACCAUAGGUUCACCAUCACAGGUAUAAGGUAACAUUUUAAUUGUACUAGUUGUUUAUAUCACAACUGACCGUUAAAAUUCAGUCAUAUAUGGGAAUUACGAUUUAUGAGUAACAUUAAUACAAAAAAACAUGAUCAAGGAAUCUGUAUGGGGUGGGAUAUGAAUUACUUCACUAGGUGAUGCCAGCCCUAGUUGAUCACCAAUACCAGUCAUUUAUGUUUAGCAUUAAUGCCUGCUCUUCAGACCACAAACAUGUUGGCAUGCAUGCAGUUCAUAAAAGUCAAAGCUGCGAAUGUCCAGGACCAACUGUAUGUUAAUUUCUUUUUCAAAGGCCUGAAUGUUGAAUCAUUUCAGCUAAAGCAGAUCUACAGCAUCAGCUGUUCAAUGAUGAAUCAACACACAGGUGAAUCCUAUUGAUUCGAUGGGUCUUUUGUAGUUGUGGCUAACAAUAGGAUUCAGUGUUUUUUUUAUAAAAAGUUGGAAUCCAAACAAAGAUGUGUUAAAAUAAUGCCUUCAUCUGAAUAAAUUUAGAGAGAGUUAAAUGGGUAUAGCAUAUCAUUUUUAUGCUUCUCAUUGUUUUGAAAAGUUGGUAUAGAGCUGUAAAUUCAGUGUUUUCUCUGAAGAAUUCUUCAUGGAGUUUACAGCCAUAAGCCUGUUGAUGUUGUACUGUCCUCGGAUCUGAAGAAGAAAACAAGUAUCCUGUGGUAAUAUUGACAUGCUUUUAUUAGUUCGCUAGACUAAAUCUGUGCCCAAAGUAUAAGUACAGUAAGCUUCAUUGGUUUAUGCUUCUCCCUUUCUCUUUUUUCCUCCAGUUGUUUUGGAUGGCAAGCUGUUUGCGAUCAAGGAACGAUCUUUUUGUUUUUGUUUCUUCAGUAUGAAUCUAAAGUGCUAUGUACUUUUGAGCAGUAUUUAUUAAUAAAUAUUUAAAAUCA
RNA transcript from Sceloporus undulatus (fence lizard), 4000 nucleotides. It is a transcript of the gene named paraspeckle component 1, with no coding region annotated. The record is from RefSeq and is a predicted model, not a curated record. NCBI's taxonomy places the organism in Eukaryota, Metazoa, Chordata, Lepidosauria, Squamata, Phrynosomatidae. The transcript has 10 exons.